GACGAACGCUGGCGGCGUGCUUAACACAUGCAAGUCGAACGGAAAGGCCGGGCUUUGCUUGGCUGCUCGAGUGGCGAACGGGUGAGUAACACGUGAGUAACCUGCCUUGUAGGGGGGGAUAACUUUAGGAAACGAUGGCUAAUACCGGAUAGUAGCUGCUGUUGCAUGGUGGUGGUUGGAAAGUUGCGGUGGUUGGGGAUGGAGGUGGGGCUGAUCAGCUUGUGGGGGGGGGAGUGGAUAAGGCAGGCAUUGGCGGGUAGCCGGCAUGGGCGGGCGACCGGGCCCAGUGGGCCUGAGGUAGGACCCAGAGGGGAACUGGGGGCAGCGGUGGGAAACAUUCCCCAAUGGGCGGAAGCGUGGUACAACGACGUCGGGUGCGGAAUGACGGUUUUCGGGUUAUAAACCGCUUUCGCCUGUGACGAAGCGUGAGUGACGGUACCGGAUAAAGAAGCACCGGCUAACUACGUG
RNAcentral lists this ribosomal RNA (468 nucleotides) under uncultured bacterium. Its description in RNAcentral is "partial 16S ribosomal RNA". It matches the Rfam family "Bacterial small subunit ribosomal RNA", at positions 28 to 507 of the family's 1533-position model. The record is from RNAcentral.